Molecule: non-coding RNA, 739 nt
Organism: Myodes glareolus (Bank vole)
Lineage: Eukaryota; Metazoa; Chordata; Mammalia; Rodentia; Cricetidae
Source: RefSeq, a predicted model, not a curated record
UUCUGAGUGCAGAGGUCAAAGCCACAAAUUUCAGCCUCAUGAUGAAAAAGAGAAGACUCACGACUCCUGAGGAGCAAAGUGACAGAAGAGAAGAGGACCGUGGCUUCUUGGUGGAGGAGCUUGUGAGCUAUUGCUCAGUCUGGCUUUGACAGGACUGGCCUCUGAGUUAAACGACCCCCCCUUGAGGUCUUCAACUGUGAUGACUUGUGAAGAUCACCCCCGCUGGGCUAGCUGACUGAUUACAUCCCCUCCUAGAGGAUCUGGGAGGGUCAUGAGACCUUCAAUCAUGAGACCUCACUGAGUAUCUAGCCACUCUCUGCAUCAUUUGCAAUGCUGCCUAACUGCUUGAGGCCUUGGGGAAAUCACCAGAUCAUAUAGGCAAAGGAACGAGGAGAGGGAGACUCUAUGUUUAUGGAGAACCUCAUUCCUGCAUGGUAGACUUUCCUGUAUGCCUCUGGAGAAGAAUUUACUCCUUAUUACACCGUGCUGAAAUUGCUUCAGAAUCUUGUCUGAAUCUGUGAACCAUUAUAACCAAAAAGACAGAGAGAAAAAUGCUGGACAUAGAUUUUUGGAGUCAUAGUUUCGAUUCUGGUUCCAGUAUCAACUGAUAGAUGGAGAGAUCUAUCCCAUUUCCAGAUGUGAGAAAGUAUCUUAAGAUGGCAUGUUCCCAGUUCAUUCUCAUGGAGAGACAGGCAGGACACACCCAGGAUAUUGCUGAUGAAGGAUCCAUACUCAUAGA